AGAACGAACGCUGGCGGCAUGCCUAACACAUGCAAGUCGAACGCUUUUGGGGCUUCGGUCCCAAAGGAGUGGCGCACGGGUGAGUAGCGCGUGGGAACCUGCCCUGGAGUGGGGGAUAACCGAGGGAAACUUCGGCUAAUACCGCAUACGCCGGGAAACCGGGAAAGAUUUAUCGCUCUAGGGGAGGGGCCCGCGUCGGAUUAGGUAGUUGGUGGGGUAACGGCCUACCAAGCCUGUGAUCCGUAGCUGGUCUGAGAGGAUGAUCAGCCACACUGGGACUGAGACACGGCCCAGACUCCUACGGGAGGCAGCAGUGGGGAAUAUUGGACAAUGGGCGCAAGCCUGAUCCAGCAAUGCCGCGUGAGUGAUGAAGGCCUUCGGGUUGUAAAGCUCUUUCGCACGCGAGGAUGAUGACGCUAGCGUGAGAAGAAGCCCCGGCUAACUCGUGCCAGCAGCCGC
Molecule: ribosomal RNA, 459 nt
Filed under: uncultured bacterium
Lineage: Bacteria
Description: SSU rRNA
Rfam family: Bacterial small subunit ribosomal RNA
Source: RNAcentral